RNAcentral lists this long non-coding RNA (4825 nucleotides) under Sus scrofa (pig). RNAcentral describes it as "lncRNA (ENSSSCG00035031666.1)". The record is from RNAcentral. Lineage: Eukaryota; Metazoa; Chordata; Mammalia; Artiodactyla; Suidae.
GACGGCGAACGGCGGGCGGCGGAGGAGGAGACGGCGGGUCGGGCAUUUUUAAAAUAUUUAAUCAUUCAUGAGUUGAGCUUCAUUCUUGAGUCAUGGAUGACAAGGCUUCUGUUGGAAAAAUCAGUGUCUCCUCAGACUCUGUGUCUACUCUUAAUAGUGAAGAUUUUGUCUUGGUUUCCAGGCAAGGAGAUGAGACACCAUCUACAAAUAAUGGAAGUGAUGAUGAGAAAACGGGACUCAAGAAUUUGGCCUUCUUAAGAAUGUAUGGAGUGGAAGUGAGGACAUAGAAAUAAUAUCCUUUCUUUUUUUAAUGCUAAGACUUUUAUUUAUUAUUAAUAAGUGUGACACAUUUAUAUCUGAUUAAGGAUUUUCAAUUUGAUUAGUUUCUAAAUCUUCUAAUUCCCUAACUGUAAAAACCAGUGAUCAUGGCAUAAAUAUUUGUUAUUUUAGUAUUGUUUUCAAUUUUCCAUUGAGUUAGAGGUGGUUGAUUGUUUUGGGCCUGGUGUAUGUAGUGUAAAGACAGUGGCAGGUCAGCAAUGCUUUUUAGACGAAUAGGUUUUAGAAUUAUUAAAACAGAACUUAAAAUUCCUGGCUUUUGACUACUUCUAUUUGUUUAUAUUUUCUCAGUAAAAUAGAUGGCUGUUACUUCUUUCCCCAUACUCUGUUACUGUUCUGCUCUUUAUGGAUAUAAAUUAAAAACAUUAUCUGUUAAUGUCACUUAAAAUGUAAGUGGCUUUAAAAAUAUUUUGAUUCUUGUUUAUAUAUAUUUUUUCAACAAGUGUUUAUUGAGUAUUAACUUUGUGCCAAGUACUGUUCUAAAUACUGGAGGGAGAUACAGUAGUGAAUAAGACAGGCAAGCCCCUCUGCCCUCCUAGAGCUUUUAAUGUUUUGGGGGAAACAGACUCUUAGGCAAAUGAGAAAAUGAGUAUAUUAAGUAAAUUUAGAUGCUUUGAAGAAAAAAGAGUGAAUGGCAAAUACUGCUGUAGAGAAUGUCUUGAAGUGACAUUUUAGCAGAGAUCUGAAUGAAAUCAGGAGGAACUUGUCCAUGGAGAAAUCUGAAGAGAGAGCUUUCCACAGAGAAUAGAAAAUAAAAAAACUGAGGGGGACCACCCUUUUUAGGAUAGAAAUGAGAGCAGAGUGAGUGAAGUAAAUGACAAGUGGUAUAAAGUAUGAGAUCCAGUGAUGAGUAAAAACUGGAUGAUGUAGAAUUUUGUAGUGCUUAGUAGGAAUUUGGACUUCAUUAUAAAAAUGAAGAGGAUUUUUGGAGAGUUUUGAAUGAGAUCAUAAUCCGAUUUACAUUUUUAAAUGUUCUGGCUGAGAGAGACUUCCACCAUGGAUGAUGUGAACUUUGUGAACCAACUUCCCAGCAAAAUUGGUAACAACUUUUUAAAAAUGAAAUCUUUGGCAAAAGGACAGAUAGCAAUUGAAGAAACAUGUAUUCUAAGAAAUGUACUAAAAUCUGGUAAAGACUCUGUCAUAUUUGGUCUAAGACUUGGUUUUCCCCUCCCCUCUCCCAGCUGAGCAAGAUGGUAACUCCACUCCAGGUUGGUACAGUCAAGAAGGUAGGACUGUCUGCUACCCUGUCCCCAGGACUCCCACUUGGAGGGCUGUCUUCCAGAAAAGAGCAUGAUGAGAGCAUUUCUCAUCCUGCUUCUCUCCAUCUGCUUUUUGCUGGCCAAGUGUGACUGAGUGGUAGGGGCUCCCCGCCCCCCUUUUUUUUCCCCCAGCCCUUCUGUGAUGAAGGCUCUGCUUUGGGCACAGCGCUGCUGAGAAUACUGAGAGCCUGACUGUCCUUACUGUGGCUUUGGCACGUAGGGUAGUGCUUCCACAUUCGUGGAGGCAAGCCAAGAAUACCAGAAAUGACUAUACUACCUGCCAUGCCCACCAAAUACACAUCUUCAAAGAUGGGUCGUCACUCAGAAGUAAUGGCAUUGUCCACACUCCCAGCCUCAUAGCUAUAGCUCAGAUUUUGCCUGCAGUGAGAAGUGUGCCAUAAAAAAGCUACUAAUCUCUUCCCAGAGUUACAGACUUUAUUUACCAUGGACCGUAGAGAAGUUCAAGGCUAAGGGUACUCUCAAAGACAGCAGAGGUUGUGCUGAAAGGUAAUUGGGAAGAGAUUGGUGGAUUGAACAUAGAGGUUUAACUGUAGGCUUGCUGGGAGGAGACCACUUAUGGUUGGAACAAUUUCAGAUGUUGACCUCUAGAGUGCUCUCUUCCAAGUAGCUUCAGUUUGAUUGGUUUUAGAUAGAGUGACAGCUUCAGUUUGAUUGGUUUUAGAUGGAGUGACAAAGAAAUGGGCCUUUGUGGUGGUGUACCACAAAGCUGGGAAAGUUGAGUGCUCAAUCACGCACUCUGACUUUCCCUCAUGGGAGAAAUCAUGGCUGAGUAAGUAUCUGCUGGCACCUUGGGGGCAGGGUGACACAGAUGAAACUGUUCCUUUCAUGUCUUCAUUGAGUCCAAUCUUGGAUAGUUUUGUUCCACCAAUUUGCUGGAACUUCUCUGCUCCUGCACUUCCUGAAGGCACUCUCAUCCAUUAGUGUCUAAACUGGUCUUCUUUGAGAGUAGGAUGGUAGAAAACUCCUGUACUGCCAUUUUGAUGAUAAUUCUUUCCAUUAAUUCUUUCUCUUGCCAGUUGAAGUUUGUUGUUGAGCCCCUCUAGUGAAUUUCUCAUUUCAAUUAUUGUGCUUUUCCACUUCAGAAUUUCCAUUUGGUCCUUUUUUUUUUUUUUUUGUAAUUUCUAUCUCCCUAAUGAUACUUUCUAUUUGAUGUGACACUGUUAUCAUACUUUAUUUCUUUACACAUGAUUUCUUUUAGUUCACUGAACAUGUUAAUAAUGGCUACUUGCAAAGUUUUCAUAUUAAAUCCAACAUGUCAGUCUCACAAGCAGUAUGUGUUCCCAUUUUAAAAAAGGAUGUAUGGGUAAUAUUUUCUUAUUUCUUAGCAUGUCUCACAAUUUUGUGUUGGAAAUAUGAUAUUUCAGGUAAUAGGUUGUUCCAGUUCUCAGUACUGGUCUCCCCACUCUGGGACUUUUUUAUGCUUGCUUGUUGGUUUAGUUCACUUAUUUUAGUAAAUUCUACUUCCCUAAUUCCCAUGGUGUUAACCUCCGAUGUUGCUCCUCUGGAGUGAUUUGAAUUUGCCACAGUUAUCCUGGGAUAGGAGUAGUUUUCUCAGGAUAUUCUCUAUGACCACAAAAGUUCACUAGAUUCAGUUAACAGAUACAGGUGCUAAUGUAGGACUUUCUAAAAGAAAAGUGGUAUAAUGCAAACAUUUGGAAAGUGGGGGAUACCUGUAAUUCCCAAAUGAAAGCUGAAAGAAUUGAUCAUCACUAGAUCUUAAGCAAAAUGCUGAAAAGAGUUCUUCAAUCAGAAAUGAAAGAACACUAAUUAGUAACAUGGAAACAUGAAAAAAUAAAACACACUCAAAAAGGUAAGUAUAUGGUCAAAAUCAGUAUAAUACUGUAAUACUGUAAUAUUAGAUGUGUUAUAAUGUGUUAUACAUUACAUAAAAAGGGGUGACAUCAAAAACAAAAUGUUUGGGAAGGUAAAAGGUAGUGUUUUGUGUGUGAUUGAAGUUAGGUUGUUACCAGUGUAAAAUACACCCUUAGAUCUCUGAGGUGUUUUAUGUAAACCUCAUGGUAACCACAAAGUGGGAACUUAGACUAGAUACAUAAAAGAUAAAAAGAGAAUCAAAGUUUACCACUAUAGAAAAUCAUCAGCUCUUAAGGGAAGGCAGUAAGAUGGAAGAAAGGAACAAAGGAACUAUAAAACAACCAGAAAACAACUAGUAACAUAAAUUUUUAUCUAAUCAAUAAUUAUUUUAAAUGCAAAUGAAUUAAAUUUUCCAGUUGAUGUCAUAGUGUCAGAAUGUAUUUAAAAAUAGAGGAACUCUGUAUGCUGCAUAUAAGAGACGCAUUUCAGUUUUAAGGACACAAACUCAUCCAUGUGUCAUUGUGAAAAGGUGAAAAGCUGUUCCAUGCAAAGGGAAACCAAAAGAGACCAUUUCAAAACAAGCAUGUAAAUCUUUGUCUUAGCAGAAAGCAAGGCACAAAAGAACCAGAAGAUACUGGGAAGUAUAGUAAAUAAUCUCAGGCCCACUUAGAUAUUCUGUGAUUCUUGAUAAAUGGAAAUGGUAUCUAAACUUGUAUCAGACAGAAAUAGACUUGAAGUCAAAACAUUUAAGAAGAAGAGACAAAGGUCAUUAUAUAAUCAUAAAUGGGUCAGUAGAUCAAGAGGAUAUAACAGUUGUAAAUACAAUUGCAUGUAAUAUUGGAAUACCUAGAUAUGUAAGCAAAAACCGAAAGAUCUUAAAGGAAAAGUAGACAACAAUACAAUAAAAGGGGAUUUAGGAAUUCCCAUUGUGGCUCAGCGGGUUAGGAGCCUGAUGUUGUCUUUGAGGAUGCAGAUUCAAUCCCUGGCUUCACUCGGUGGGUUAAAAAUCAGGCAUUGCUGCAAGCUGUGAUGUAGAUGGCAGAUGUGGCUUGAAUCUGGUGUUGCUACGGCUAUGGCAUAGGCCACAGCUGCACCUCCAAUUUAACCCCUGGCCCUGGAACUUCCAUGUGCUGCAGAUGCAGCCUUAAAAAGGAAGAAAAUAAUAAAUUAAAAAAAAUAAUAGGGGAGGGAGUUCCCGUCGUGGUGCAGCGGUUAACGAAUCCGACUAGGAACCAUGAGGUUGUGGGUUCAGUCCCUGCCCUUGCUCAGUGGGUUGACGAUCUGGCGUUGCCGUGAGCUGUGGUGUGGGUCACAGACGCGGCUUGGAUCCCGUGUUGCUGUGGCUCUGGCGUAGGCCGGUGGCUGCAGCUCCGAUUCGACCCCUAGCCUGGGAACCU